RNAcentral lists this ribosomal RNA (396 nucleotides) under uncultured bacterium. RNAcentral's name for it is "partial 16S ribosomal RNA". It matches the Rfam family "Bacterial small subunit ribosomal RNA", at positions 523 to 918 of the family's 1533-position model. The record is from RNAcentral.
AUACGUAGGGAGCGAGCGUUGUCCGGAAUUACUGGGUGUAAAGGGUGCGUAGGCGGGACUGCAAGUCAGAUGUGAAAUGCCGGGGCUCAACCCCGGAGCUGCAUUUGAAACUGUGGUUCUUGAGUGAGGUAGAGGUAAGCGGAAUUCCUAGUGUAGCGGUGAAAUGCGUAGAUAUUAGGAGGAACAUCGGUGGCGAAGGCGGCUUACUGGGCCUUUACUGACGCUGAGGCACGAAAGCGUGGGGAGCAAACAGGAUUAGAUACCCUGGUAGUCCACGCUGUAAACGAUGAUGACUAGGUGUGGGGGGACUGAACCCUUCCGUGCCGCAGUUAACACAAUAAGUAAUCCACCUGGGGAGUACGGCCGCAAGGUUGAAACUCAAAUGAAUUGACGGGG